AAUAUUUCUAGUCAAAAGGGGAAUGGAAAUGAGAAAUUCCAAUAUGCAGAGAGAAGAGAUCUUAACCAAUUUUAAUGGAGGUAACUCGAAGGCCACAAGCUUUAAGCACGACGCCGAUACUACUGGCGGUAACGCCUUUGCCAAGCCCACUCACCACUCCUCCAGUCACCAAUACGUACUUCAUCUCCGAAACUAGAGCACAGGCUAGUCUGGAGAGAACGCACACCAACUGUUUGUGUUAAUGUCUGAUCGAAACUACAAAGCGACACCAAACUCUGGUUUCCAUUGACGGAUACGGAAAAAGCUGACUUCUUUUCGAGGAUCAAUUGUAUUCUACCACUAGUAAGCUCCCACGUGUCACACUCCCAAAUCGUAUGUGCAUAAUCAAGGAUUUUAUGCAAUUUUUAGCAGAGUGCAAAAAAAGGUAAAAAACCAUCUAAAGCUAAAUUUUAUCUGUAUUUUUAUAUUAUUUUUUAUAUAUUGUAUAGAUUAUCUUCUAACUCUUACAUAAAUGCACUUAAAAGCUAAAAAUAAACUCUUGAAACAAUAAUAAAACUUAGCAAGCAUAGUUACUCUUAAGAUUAAGAGUCUCAAAGACAUUGACUUUCUUGAGCUUAAUCCUUAGCAAACCAAGACUGAAGUAGUUUGAUGCAAAACAAAGUCCAACACAUGGAAAUGAAACAAAAAUAUGCAGAGAAAAGAACAGAGACUUUGAGAGAAGAGAGAAAGGUGAGAAAGGGAAGAGAGAACACACAUAACAUUUGUUCACCCAUGCUACGUCUGGGCCGAGUCACAGCUCGGAAUUCACUAGAAUAAGCAAGUUACAAGAGGGAAUCCCUCAGAGAAAGAGUCUCACACUUGAGAUCUCCUCUCUGUAUCUCCUCUGUUACACACUCAAGAGAAACACCAAAGCUUACACCUUUUAAUGGCUAUAUCUCUCUCUUGCUUUCUUUCUACAUUGUAUCUCUCUCUUAUUCACUCCCCUUAGACAACGCUCACAACAUAGCAACAUCUUAUAUAUGUGAGACCACCUUAGGUCUAGGGCUUCUCCAAAACCCUCUAAUUUGAAUUCACGUAGUGACAAACUGUCCUUUCUUGGCCACCAAUGAAAAAUUAAUCUAAUUUUUAAAAAGUUUUAGUGACGUUUCGUUUAAAAAUAUUAUUGAGGUUUUUAAAAAGUUUUAGUGUUAGUGAGGUUUAAGACUAGUUUUUAAAAAGUUUUAGUGAGGUUUCUUAAAGUUUAAGACUAAUUUUUAAAAAGUUUUAGAGAGGUUUUAUUUAAAAAUAUUAGUGAGGUUUUAAAAAGUUUAAGUGUUAGUGAGGUUUAAGACUAAUUUUUAAAAAGUUUUAGUGAGGUUUCUUAAAGUUUAAGACUAAUUUUUAAAAAUUUUAGUGAGGUUUCUUAAAGUUUAAGUGUUAAAUUUGUUUUAAAUUUUUGUGAAAAUCGUUAUUGUUUUUUAAAAAUGAGUUUAAGUGUUAAAUCUAUAUUACGUGAAAACAUAUGCCGAACUUCGAAUACCAAAACUUAUGGACCAAUUAAGGACAGGAUGCCUAGGGGCGGUUAGUUUUCGAACGUGUUUAAAAUUUAACACUUAAGGGGGUGUAUUCAAUUAAAGAUUGAGGAGGGUUUGGUGGAAUUUAGGAAAUUUUGGAUUUAGAGUGAUUUAAGUGAGUUUAUAGGAUUUUUUUGGUGGAAUUGUUAUUUUAUUUUUAAAAAGGAAAGAUAAUUUGUGAUUUGAUGAGUUUUUAAAGAGAUAAUAUAUAGGUGAUUUGGUGAGAUUUUUAGCACAAAAAAUAGAAAAAUUAGGAUUCUCUAAAAAAUUGCAGACCGUAGAAUCAAUAUCAAUGAACCAUUCACAUGCUUAAAAAUAAUUGGAAUCACCAUCAACAAGGCAAAUGGGGACUUUGAUUUUAGGAUCUCUUAUGUUAUUUUUGUUCAAGGGAUCGAGAUCGAGAGAGAUGAAGACGAGGAUGAAGAGAGGAGAUUGUUUCACUAGUUUAGUUUUGUUAGCCACAUGUUUUUUUUUGUUUUUUUUUUGUUUUUAAUCAAAUACCACCUCUAGAGGUGUGAUUGUUUAGUUGUUAUUUUUACACUAAAAAUGUAUCCAAAGUCUCAC
This 2117-nucleotide long non-coding RNA is filed under the name Arabidopsis lyrata. RNAcentral describes it as "long non-coding RNA (ALYR_LNC001487)". The record is from RNAcentral. Lineage: Eukaryota; Viridiplantae; Streptophyta; Magnoliopsida; Brassicales; Brassicaceae.